GACGAACGCUGGCGGCGUGCUUAACACAUGCAAGUCGAACGAUGAAGCCGGAGCUUGCUCCGGUGGAUUAGUGGCGAACGGGUGAGUAACACGUGAGCAAUCUGCCCUUGACUCUGGGAUAACUGCGGGAAACUGUAGCUAAUACCGGAUACGACACCUUGGGGGAUCCCAGGGCGUGGAAAGAAUUUCGGUCAAGGAUGAGCUCGCGGCCUAUCAGCUAGUUGGUGAGGUAAUGGCUCACCAAGGCGACGACGGGUAGCCGGCCUGAGAGGGUGGCCGGCCACACUGGAACUGAGACACGGUCCAGACUCCUACGGGAGGCAGCAGUGGGGAAUAUUGCACAAUGGGCGAAAGCCUGAUGCAGCAACGCCGCGUGAGGGAUGAAGGCCUUCGGGUUGUAAACCUCUUUUAGCAGGGAAGAAGCGAAAGUGACGGUACCUGCGGAAAAAGCACCGGCUAACUACGUGCCAGCCGCCGCGGUAA
This 483-nucleotide ribosomal RNA is filed under the name uncultured bacterium. RNAcentral's name for it is "partial 16S ribosomal RNA". It matches the Rfam family "Bacterial small subunit ribosomal RNA", at positions 28 to 523 of the family's 1533-position model. The record is from RNAcentral.